UAAUGGCAGGUCAGCAUACUGCCGUGAAUACGUUCCCGGGCCUUGUACACACCGCCCGUCCACACCAUGAGAGUUGGGGAUACCCGAAGCCUGUGAGCUAACUUUUAGAGGCAGCAGUCGAAGGUAGAAUCAAUGAUUGGGGUGAAGUCGUAACAAGGUAUC
Molecule: ribosomal RNA, 162 nt
Filed under: uncultured bacterium
Lineage: Bacteria
Description: partial 16S ribosomal RNA
Rfam family: Bacterial small subunit ribosomal RNA
Source: RNAcentral